CGUGGGCAAUCUGCCUUAAAGUGGGGGAUAGCUCGGCGAAAGCCGGAUUAAUACCGCAUGUGAUCAGGGGAGACAUCUUCCCAAAAUCAAAGUCGGGGCAACCUGACGCUUUUUGAGGAGCCCGCGGCCUAUCAGCUAGUUGGUGAGGUAAUGGCUCACCAAGGCGUUGACGGGUAGCUGGUCUGAGAGGACGACCAGUCACACUGGAACUGAGACACGGUCCAGACACCUACGGGUGGCAGCAGUCGAGAAUUUUUCUCAAUGGGGGAAACCCUGAAGGAGCGACGCCGCGUGGAGGAUGAAGGUCUUCGGGUUGUAAACUCCUGUCAUUUGGGAACAAUGCUUACGUAUUAACUGUACGUGAGUUGAUAGUACCAGAAGAGGAAGAGACGGCUAACUCUGUGCCAGCAGCCGCGGUAAUACAGAGGUCUCAAGCGUUGUUCGGAUUCAUUGGGCGUAAAGGGUGUGUAGGUGGCGCGCUAAGUCGGGUGUGAAAUUUCGGAGCUUAACUCCGAAACUGCAUUCGAUACUGGCGUGCUUGAGGACUGGAGAGGAGACUGGAAUUCAUGGUGUAGCAGUGGAAUGCGUAGAGAUCAUGAGGAAGACCAGUGGC
Molecule: ribosomal RNA, 613 nt
Filed under: uncultured bacterium
Lineage: Bacteria
Description: bacterial SSU rRNA
Rfam family: Bacterial small subunit ribosomal RNA
Source: RNAcentral